This 460-nucleotide ribosomal RNA is filed under the name uncultured bacterium. Its description in RNAcentral is "partial 16S ribosomal RNA". It matches the Rfam family "Bacterial small subunit ribosomal RNA", at positions 338 to 795 of the family's 1533-position model. The record is from RNAcentral.
CCUACGGGAGGCAGCAGUGAGGAAUAUUGGUCAAUGGACGGAAGUCUGAACCAGCCAUGCCGCGUGCAUGAAGACGGCUCUAUGAGUUGUAAACUGCUUUUGUACAAGGGUAAACCUGAAUACGUGUAUUCAGCUGAAAGUACUUUACGCAUAAGGAUCGGCUAACCCCGUGCCAGCAGCCGCGGUAAUACGGUGGAUCCAAGCGUUAUCCGGAUGUAUUGGGUUUAAAGGGUGCGUAGGCGGAUUGAUAAGUUAGAGGUGAAAUGUCCGAGCUUAACUCGGGAACUGCCUCUAAUCCUGUUGAUCUAGAGAGUAGAUGAGGUAGGCGGAAUUCGUGGUGUAGCGGUGAAAUGCUUAGAUAUCACGAAGAACUCCGAUUGCGAAGGCAGCUUACUAAACUGCCACUGACAUUGAGGCUCGAAAGUGUGGGGAUCAAACAGGAUUAGAUACCCUUGUAGUC